AGGGGCCCAACCCUGGGCCUCAGUGGGUGAAGAGUUAGCUUUACCUAAAGAGAGGUGUGGUGUUCGCCUCGGCUCCUGGGAGUUGAUCUCUGGGCCCGUGGAAUGUCCUGCCUAGUAAGAGGGUGGUUGUUUGCCGGGAAGUCUUGGCCUCUGCACACCAUGGCAUGAUGAGUUAUGAUGGAGACUUGGGACACACUACAUCAGUUCUAACCUCCAGGGGUAUAAUCUUGAGACUCCAAGAGGGGCUGGAGGUCAGAGGUCAGCCCCACGGGCAGUUCAUGAUGGAGACUCAAUCAAAACCAUGCACCCCAGAGGCUGCCCUGCUUGGCAGUGCCCUGUGCGUAAGGUCACGGGCGGGAGAAGGUAAUGCCGACCACGAGACCCUGGGAAGAGGGAGGUGAUGGAACAGAGCCUAGGAGCCAGGACCAGCUCCCCACAAAUCACCAAGUUCCAAAGUCCAGUUCCAAAGUGUUGAGAAUUCUGAAUUUGAACCUGGCCUUUGAGAUGGUUAUGAAGGCCUUUUUUUUUUUUUUUUUGGUUUUUUUCCUCCAAAGCAGCAAGACAGAACAUAUUUUCUUUAAGGUAACAGGUUGUUAGCCUGAUUUAUUGCCUUUAAGUAUCUAGGCAGAUGGUGUGCAUGCCUGUGUGUUCUUGCCCCAGGCUCUGAAGCAUUCGGAGCCAGUCUGUUGCUAAUUGUCAGAAUUUCACUUUUCUUGACGGUACUCUUAAGAGAGGUUGCUGAAGGUUAGCAAAGCAUCACAUCUAAAUUUUCUCAGAACAUCUUGAAAUGUACAUAGCAGGAUGCUAACGUGGAAUUUCAUUUGUUUCAUUUUCUGCUGCGAUGCCCAAUGGCUGAGAAAAAAAUCAAACCAUAAGUGCUGAGUGUCCCCACCUUCCAAAGUGAAGUGUGAGACCACCGCUCCGGGUACCUGCGGCUGCAUAACCAGGGUCACCAAAACUCAGAGGAGUGCUCAAAACCACCACCCAGUGGAAGAAAUUAACUACUUGAUGAUCAUGAGCACAUGGCCCCCAGACCGUCUGACCUCUGAGGAUUGAUCACCAGCAACCAGAAAAUUAUGCACAGCUGAACACAGACCCUGGGCUUCCCCUCCCUCAGGUGGCCUUUAAAAAUGCUCAGCUGAAACCUUUUGGGGAGUUCAGGGUUUUAGAGGCAUGAGCUGCCCAUCCUCCUUGCUCAGCCACCAAUAGAUCAUUCUCUGCUCCAAUCUUCAACAUUUCAGUGUUUUCUGGCCUCACUGUGCAUCAGGUGCACAAACUUGCAUUUGGUGACAGUUUGGUGAAAUCAGCCUGGGAGUCUGUGCCCGUGGGAGGUCAGCCCGGCCAAGGCUGCACCUUCCUGGGCCCCAGCAGCGGCCGGGGCGCACACCAUUCCGAGAACCAGGAGGGACUCUCCCCGACAGGCCACCCCAGCAUGAGGCUUUCUGGAGCCAAGAACCAUCCGGAGCUGCAUCCACACUCGGUGUCACUCAUAGGUGAGUGGCUCCAGCUCGCACGGACUGGGAAUUCUCUCCAUCCUUCUGGGUUCGUUCCCCCUGGGAAGUGAGCUGCUCUGGGCUCAUCAUGAGCCACUCUGGGUCCGUUCUCUCCCGGAGCUGGGCCCGUCUGUGCGGAGGCCUCCUUCUAGGAGUGGAGGGGGUAGUUUUAGACGCCACCUCCUCUGGCUGUCUGUCUGUGCGACCGCAGCUUGUUUGUUGCUUGUGUUGUCGUGAGCAUCACUGUGGGGUGAGCCGCUCCGGCUUGUACAGGAUGGAGAAUCCACCCACGCCCCUUGGGCUUGUUCCUGCCCGGGAAGUGAGUCAUUCUGGCCUCACUGGGAGCCACGCUGGGUCCAUACUUUUUUGGGAGUCAGGCCACUCUGUAGGCCUCUGUCUGGCACUGGGAGGAAUUUUUGAGGCUCCAUCUCAUCUGAUCUUUGGUUUGUGGGACCGUGUAUGUGUGUGUGUGUGUGUGUGUGUGUGUGUGUAUCAGUACUUGCACUGGCCGGUUGAGACGUCUUUGGUGAGUACCGGGGCUCACGUGCGAUGGCACCAGGGCACCCUCCCUACUGCGCUGGCUUCUCCCCAGGGGGAGUGUUGGUUGGAGUGUUCCCUUUCUAGCCUCGGUCCUUCAUUCAGUUUCAUCUCUGAUGGGGCGGGCACUGGUUGGGAAAUUCCCUUUUUGGAGUCUGGGAAACUGUGACCCAGACAGACCGUUUCGAAUUGUUGUUUGCUUGGUGUGUGUGGGGGUCUUGGUAUCUGAGUCCAAAUCCUGUUAUCUCUUCCUGGUUUGGCUGAACAUGAAGGAUGUGAAUGUGAGCAAAUGACAUAUAUUAUUGUCUAUUACUGUUAUUUCUUUAAACUGAAGUGGAUGUUUGGGAACUGGGGGAAAAAAUCCCUGAAAAUAGCCAAGAUGGUUGGGUUUUGUAAAAGCAGAGGAGGAGUUUGCAUUCCUCUUUCUGUGCCUUUGAGAUGCAGGUGGCCUACCUGGGCUUUCAAGGGAAAAAAAGAAAAGAGGUUUUUUUUAAACUCCAGCAUAAAAAAAAA
Molecule: non-coding RNA, 2543 nt
Organism: Vicugna pacos (alpaca)
Lineage: Eukaryota; Metazoa; Chordata; Mammalia; Artiodactyla; Camelidae
Source: RefSeq, a predicted model, not a curated record